Molecule: small nuclear RNA, 22 nt
Filed under: Arabidopsis thaliana (thale cress)
Lineage: Eukaryota; Viridiplantae; Streptophyta; Magnoliopsida; Brassicales; Brassicaceae
Description: snRNA_15075
Source: RNAcentral
UUUCUAUGCAAAUAAUAAAUGU